This is a long non-coding RNA of Chrysemys picta bellii (western painted turtle), 659 nucleotides long. RefSeq lists it as uncharacterized. The record is from RefSeq and is a predicted model, not a curated record. NCBI's taxonomy places the organism in Eukaryota, Metazoa, Chordata, Testudines, Emydidae.
AUUCACCACUCACCAUGCACAAAGCAUUUUAGAAGCGUGUGUGGAAUAUUUUACAGCACACUUUGAGAAACAGCAUGUGAUAGAGGAGGAAAAGAUUGAAUCAUAAACAACAUGCAAGUGGAGCCAGAAUUAAGAAGACUGUGUUCCAGAGGGCACAUUUCGAAAACAGGAGUAGGACAAUUUGAAAUAGCAAGCCAUGUGCAAGCACUAAUAGUUCUUGCAAACGGUGAUUCUUCAUCAGGAAAAUGUCAGAGACCAUUUGGGUACAGGAUGUUGGAGGGAGAUGAGAGAAGUUCUGCUUCCCAAUAUUUAUGUCUCUGUUGGAACUAAAGUGACAGCUGCAGUAAGCCAAAGUAAAGAAAGGAGCUGUGAGACUCCCUUUGAAGAAUGUAAAAUCUCCAUUUUCUAUACAAUAGUAGAAAGUAAGAGGAGGAAGUUAUGUGCUGUGGAAAAUCAAGGCUUUAAGGGAAUUGAUCCAAAAACACUGCUUUGAAUCUACUUGAUAUGUAGAGCUGGUUGGAGCAUUUUUGAUUAAACAGUUCUCUGAUGGAAUACAGUGUUUCAUCAAAAUGGAAAUGUUUGGGGGAACCAGGUAGGUUUCAAUGACAUUUUCAUUGCAGGGAGAGAAAGAGAUCUCCCACAUCCCAGGCUUAUGCAUU